GUGAGGAAUAUUGGUCAAUGGGCGGGAGCCUGAACCAGCCAAGUCGCGUGAAGGAAGAAGGGUCUAUGGUUCGUAAACUUCUUUUGCAGGGGAAUAAAGUGCAGGACGUGUCCUGUUUUGUAUGUACCCUGAGAAUAAGGAUCGACUAACUCCGUGCCAGCAGCCGCGGUAAUACGGAGGAUCCGAGCGUUAUCCGGAUUUAUUGGGUUUAAAGGGUGCGUAGGUGGUUUGAUAAGUCAGCGGUGAAAGUUUGCAGCUUAACUGUAAAAAUGCCGUUGAAACUGUCGGACUUGAGUGUAAAUGAGGUAGGCGGAAUGCGUGGUGUAGCGGUGAAAUGCAUAGAUAUCACGCAGAACUCCGAUUGCGAAGGCAGCUUACUAAGCUACAACUGACACUGAAGCACGAAAGCGUGGGGAUCAAACAGGAUUAGAAACCCGUGUAGUCC
This 445-nucleotide ribosomal RNA is filed under the name uncultured bacterium. Its description in RNAcentral is "partial 16S ribosomal RNA". It matches the Rfam family "Bacterial small subunit ribosomal RNA", at positions 354 to 796 of the family's 1533-position model. The record is from RNAcentral.